Long non-coding RNA from Prosopis cineraria, 3891 nucleotides. RefSeq lists it as uncharacterized. The transcript is spliced from 3 exons. The record is from RefSeq and is a predicted model, not a curated record. Lineage: Eukaryota; Viridiplantae; Streptophyta; Magnoliopsida; Fabales; Fabaceae.
UUUUUAUUUUUUAAAAAAUUAUUUUAUUUAUUUAGGUAUUCGGGCCAAGCUUGAUGCUGAUUGGAUUGGAUCUGAAUUUUCUUGAGCCUAUUCUGACCUCCUGAAUAAGCCUGAACAUUAAAAAUUAAUAUUUUUUGGGACUUGAUCUUAAAUUCUUUGGAUAGGUUUGGUUUAAAUUACCGAUUUUAAAUUUUAUGCAAUAUAAUUUCUAGUUUUAAACAAUCAUUUAAGGUUCAUUUCUCUUCUCCAGUGCAAAUCAUGAAGAAUAAUAUAUUUUCAAUCAACAUUUUGUACACAAUUUUUUCACAGAUUUUUACUUGUCAAACUGUAAUAGGAUUUUGUAAACUUUUGUUAUCAACACUUCCAUGUCUUGUGGGCCAAAAAACUGUGAGCAGAAGUUACAAACAAGUUCAUCUUUGGGGAGGAAAUUUAAAGAUUUUCUUGAAAAGCUCAAGUGUAAUUUAUUCCUCAUGGGAAAAGCUUUUCAAAUUGAAAUGUAAAUGAGGUUUAAAACUUUGAACUAUUGCUUCAGUGUUUAUAUUUCAUAUUUGCUAAUGCGUACACAUUAGUUGGAGCAACUAAUUUAUAUAUGUUAAAAACAAGGAAGAGAUAUAAAUAUCAUUUCUGGUACACAUUAAAGGCUUUGAUUAGAGGUGAAAGUUUGGUUUCCCUAUUUCAUCAUAUAAAUUCUUAUAUUCUCACCUUGCUAAAGCUGGUAAGCCAAUACUGAAUCUUAUCUUUAUUGCCCUAUUUUGUCAUAUAAGUGAACUAUUGCUUUUUUGUCCAAACCCUAGCGUGUUGCAAGUUUAUACUUUUGGUACCAUCAAUUUUUCAGAUUUAAUAGCUUGCAACUAUUUUUUUGCUUCUUUGAAGAGAAUGAGAAUUUCAAGAAGAUUGUAGUGGAGAUUAGAUGAAGGUAGAAUUGUACUUUCUUGCACUAUAAAAGAAGACGGUGUAAAGAUAGCAGGAUGAAGUCUUGCUUUAAUGGUGAAACAUUUGUGCAUUUUUUUUUAUUACAUUUAUGUACGUUCUCUUUUUGAUCAUUUUGGUCUAGACUUGUUGGCGGUAUGGAGGUAAAUCGUGAGCUGCUUGAGUCAUGCUUAGAAGGAUAUUAUUUUUAAAAACUAUUUUAGCACGCUAAGAUGACGGACUGGGAAUUCUCUAAGAUUAAAUAAGCACGUCUUGCAAAACGCAAGGGCACGGAACAUCAAACACUAGCAAACUCAGAUGAAGAAGAACAUAGUGGAUGAGGAAAGAAAGCCCCAAAAGCUCAAGAGGCUAGCACAUUAUUCUAUUUACACCCAUAGCUAUAUAUAAAUCGAAGGUAGAGACAUGAACGUUGGGCUCAUAAUCACCGGAUUAAACACCAUUAUACUUCGAUUACACGAACAUAAAGUAGCUUAAAUCCUCAGUGGGGACAAACACAUAAUAGACUUGAUUAAUGUAAAUCCAUUUAAGAAUUCAUUUAAAAGCCAAAAAAACGUUUAGGGUUGAAUUCAAAUUUCAAACGGCUAAAAACAAGGUUUUCUGAUAAGCUCAAUUAUUUAUUUAUUUUUUGUAAAAAUAAUCUGAUAAAAGAAACCUAGUGCCUCUUGAACUCGCGUACAGGGGGCUGAAUCGGUUGUUUUUAGUUGCGAUUGCCUUAAGUUCACUUGUUUCGUGUGUGCGAGCUUACUUUUUCUCUAAACUCAUUUUACUAGCUCAUUUUAUUUUUUAACAUUUAUAUAUUAAGAGCACUUUUCAUUCAGAUAAUGUGAAGCUUCUUUUGGCACAUACAUUCAAUUACUACAAGACUGUCAUGUGAAUGUCUGUGUACAUGUUUUUAAGUCCGGUCUACCUUGCCCUGUCAUGCUUGACAGAAAAAAAUUGUGUAAAUCAUAUAUCCAAAUAAAAUGCUGAAAUGAAAAGGUUUUAUUAGCAUCAAUGUCACUCCUAAUACUCCUCCAGCCAGGCCAGAAACAGUAUCGGCUCCAGACUCGAAAGCUUGUAGCAGUGAAUAGUUCUUAGCUUUCACUUGCGUGUGGCUCUGAACCCGUUAAUGGAGUACUACACGGUAUUCCUUUUUUCAAAUUUAAACCCCUCAUUUUUUCUACUCCAAAUACAUCUCUCUUUAUCCGUUCAUUUGUCAGCUUUUGCAAUUCCAUACAUUUUCUCUCUCUCCCAGUCUUCCUUCUGCUCUCCGUUGGUUUUGUGCAUUCCUCCUCUCUCUCUUGCCGCCACCAGUUCUUGAUUUCUUGCUCCCUCUGAUUUUCCUCGCAAGCGACCCUUGCUCUUCGCUCAUUGUAAGAGAUUUCGUGUGUUACUUUCCCUCUUACUCUCUUUACCCCGACUUCUCCCAAAAAGAAUUGAUCCAAGUGGGUGAGGGAAGAAAGCGAGAAGAUCUAAAGUAGUAGAAGGAAUAGUCCAGGGUUUUGUUCAGUGACGGCAAAUAUCACUUCCCAUUGAUUUUGUUGGUUGGUUGGUGGUCAUUUAUUUCGAUUUAUUUCAAUUCUGAGCAAGUAGUGUUCAUCUAUUAGUUCAAAACAUGGCCGUAAAUGUAUUCACCCUUUCUUUGGCUAUUGGGGGAUUUAACGCCAGUUUGAGCUUUGAUUUAUCAGCAUCGCGAAAAGUUCAAACGUGGCCAUCUGCGUGUGCUUGCAAGGUGACAAAAUGUAAGUUGUUGGCACAGCCGUCUCUCUGAGCUUGUGAAGAACUAGUGCUUGUGUGGAAUCUAACAGAACUAGCUCUUCCCAAGAAGGUGACUUGCUGUAAAAUUUUAUCUGCCAAGUAAGAAUAGGAGGGAUUCACAAGGAAUAUGCCUCUUAGGCAAGGUUGAUCAAACUCAAUCUACAAAAACGUCAGCUCACGAGUUAGCUGCUGGCUCGUAGCUCGUUUGUUCAGCUACUCUAUGAGCCUGCUUUUCAGUUAAAUAACUCACUUUUCGUUGCGAGAUGCUAUUGUUUUUUUGUCAAACCAGCUUUUGGGUUGUGCUGAGAAGAUUGUUGCUCUCGGUUGGUACUGGUGAGCAUUAUUUGUAUUUAUUUUCUUCUUUUUUUUUCCCUCUAUGGCCUUUAUUUAAAUUGCAGUAACUACAUGUAGCCUUAUAGGAUCAGGCAUUUUCUUUUCCCCAGACAUCAAAAGGUGAGACUUGACAGUGGGCAUGUGAAAUUAAGGGCUUUUGGUGAGUGCAUAUAAGUUUUUACGAUCAUCGAUAUAUUUAUUCAUACUGCCGACAUCGUUUACGAUAGAAGAAAUAUAGCACAUGUACUUGUUAUGAGUAAAAAAAAAAAAAACUUAAACUUUCUUGACCAUCUAUUAGUUAUAAAGGUUAUCUUUUCCUUUCAUUUUUCAUAAGUUGACAUGUGAAGUGUUAAACUCAGUUUCUUGGGCAUCUCAUCUUAAUUAAAUAAAAUUGUGCUGAUGUAGGGUAGUUCAAAGUCAUGGGGAAAGAAUUGAUUCAGGAUCAAGAAUUAAUUUCUAUGUAUGGAGCAUCUAUAAAUUUUUUUUCGUUCUAAUAGCAUGGAUGUUAGUUGUUGAUAUAUAAGCAGUAUUUAUACUUCUGUUCUAAUAGCAUGAAUUAAGUUAUGAAUUAUUUAAAAUUGUGUUUCAUCUCCAAGUAGUUAGAUUAAUUUCUAUUUAUGAAGUAUUUGUAAUUUGUUUCUUUUCUAAUAGCAUGGAUGUUAAUUUUUUCUCAACGCAAGCUGACAUUAUGAUCAGUUAUUCAGGCCAAUUCAUAUAAUCCAACCUGUAUUCCUGGUGCCAAUUUAUUAUACCAAAUUCAUCUAACAUAUUCAUACAAUCUGAUUGUUCAUUUGUUGUUUUCACCGUGAUAGAUCAAUGUGCAAUCUUGACAUUUUUUAUGUUUGGCCUCUCCAUCCUUAUUAGUUAAAAUUUUCAUGCUUGGCUUCUCCA